Small nucleolar RNA from Camelus dromedarius (Arabian camel), 120 nucleotides. Ensembl annotates it as small nucleolar RNA, H/ACA box 11. The record is from Ensembl. Lineage: Eukaryota; Metazoa; Chordata; Mammalia; Artiodactyla; Camelidae.
GGGCUGUGCUCAGAGCAGGGGGCAUGAAGAAAUGGUUUACAACAAACCCAACAAGAAUCUGGGUCAUUGUGACCAGGAGCACGAACUCAUGGCCUUCCUGUGAACAAACCCCAUACACAU